GCCAGCUACCUUGACAAAAGUCGCAAUCCUCAGUCCCGGCUGGCUGUAUUCCCACGGGCUAUAACACUCUACCGAAGCAGAGCCACAUUCCCGAGGAUUUAUCCAACCGCUAAAACUGAUGCUGGCCCAGCGAAAGCCGAAGCAAACGCCAUGUCUGAUCAAAUGCCCUUCCCUUUCAACAAUUUCACGUACUUUUUCACUCUCUUUUCAAAGUUCUUUUCAUCUUUCCAUCACUGUACUUGUUCGCUAUCGGUCUCUCGCCAAUAUUUAGCUUUAGAUGGAAUUUACCACCCACUUAGAGCUGCAUUCCCAAACAACUCGACUCGUCGAAAGCACUUUACAAAUAACUGGGAUCCUCGCCACACGGGAUUCUCACCCUCUAUGACGUCCUGUUCCAAGGAACAUAGACAAGGACCAGCUACAAAGUUGCCUUCUUCAAAUUACAACUCGGACGUCGAAGACGCAAGAUUUCAAAUUUGAGCUUUUGCCGCUUCACUCGCCGUUACUAAGGCAAUCCCGG
RNAcentral lists this ribosomal RNA (520 nucleotides) under Kluyveromyces lactis. RNAcentral describes it as "partial 26S ribosomal RNA". The record is from RNAcentral. Lineage: Eukaryota; Fungi; Ascomycota; Saccharomycetes; Saccharomycetales; Saccharomycetaceae.